Molecule: ribosomal RNA, 607 nt
Filed under: bacterium S4
Lineage: Bacteria
Description: bacterial SSU rRNA
Rfam family: Bacterial small subunit ribosomal RNA
Source: RNAcentral
GGAGCAUUGCUUUUUUGAAGUUAGCGGCGGACNGGUGAGUNACACGUGGGUAACCUACCUAUAAGACUGGGAUAACUUCGGGAAACCGGAGCUAAUACCGGAUAACAUUUAGAACCGCAUGGUUCUAAAGUGAAAGAUGGUUUUGCUAUCACUUAUAGAUGGACCCGCGCCGUAUUAGCUAGUUGGUAAGGUAACGGCUUACCAAGGCGACGAUACGUAGCCGACCUGAGAGGGUGAUCGGCCACACUGGAACUGAGACACGGUCCAGACUCCUACGGGAGGCAGCAGUAGGGAAUCUUCCGCAAUGGGCGAAAGCCUGACGGAGCAACGCCGCGUGAGUGAUGAAGGGUUUCGGCUCGUAAAACUCUGUUAUUAGGGAAGAACAAAUGUGUAAGUAACUGUGCACAUCUUGACGGUACCUAAUCAGAAAAGCCACGGCUAACUACGUGCCAGCAGCCGCGGUAAUACGUAGGUGGCAAGGCGUUAUCCGGAAUUUUGGGNCGUAAAGCGCGCGUAGGCCGGUUUCUUAAGUCUGAUGUGAAAGCCCACNGCUUAACCCUGGGAGGGUCAUUGGGAAANUGGGAAACUUGAUUGCAAAAAAGGAAAA